RNAcentral lists this ribosomal RNA (506 nucleotides) under uncultured bacterium. RNAcentral describes it as "partial 16S ribosomal RNA". It matches the Rfam family "Bacterial small subunit ribosomal RNA", at positions 30 to 523 of the family's 1533-position model. The record is from RNAcentral.
AUUGAACGCUGGCGGCAGGCCUAACACAUGCAAGUCGAACGGUAACAGGAAGAAGCUUGCUUCUUUGCUGACGAGUGGCGGACGGGUGAGUAAUGUCUGGGAAACUGCCUGAUGGAGGGGGAUAACUACUGGAAACGGUAGCUAAUACCGCAUAACGUCGCAAGACCAAAGAGGGGGACCUUCGGGCCUCUUGCCAUCGGAUGUGCCCAGAUGGGAUUAGCUAGUUGGUGGGGUAACGGCUCACCAAGGCGACGAUCCCUAGCUGGUCUGAGAGGAUGAACAGCCACACUGGAACUGAGACACGGUCCAGACUCCUACGGGAGGGAGCAGUGGGGAAUAUUGCACAAUGGGCGCAAGCCUGAUGCAGCCAUGCCGCGUGUAUGAAGAAGGCCUUCGGGUUGUGAAGUACUUUCAGCGGGGAGGAAGGGAGUAAAGUUAAUACCUUUGCUCAUUGACGUUACCCGCAGAAGAAGCACCGGCUAACUCCGUGCCAGCCGCCGCGGUAA